Long non-coding RNA from Haemorhous mexicanus (house finch), 1001 nucleotides. RefSeq lists it as uncharacterized. NCBI's taxonomy places the organism in Eukaryota, Metazoa, Chordata, Aves, Passeriformes, Fringillidae. The record is from RefSeq and is a predicted model, not a curated record. The transcript is spliced from 2 exons.
GUCAGUGCACUGUGGCCGCAGCGCCGAGGAGCGGGAUGGCGGAAGCGCGGGCCAAGGGCGGGGGCACAUGGGAGUGGAGGGCGGAGGGCCAGUGGGACAGUGCCUGUGCCAGGGGGCAGAGGUCGGCAGCCUGCCCUGCGGGGUGCGGGGCCGUCGGGGACAGCCUCGCUGCAGCGGGGCGGAGGAGGGAAGAUGGAGGCAGCGGAACCUGGGUCUGGCCAGGAGGGUGGGUUUAGAAGUGCGUGUGACGCCGCUGUGGACCCAAGAGCUGUCUCUGUACCGAGGGACAUAGGAGACAUGACCAAGUUCAUUUCAACAACGGAAUUUUUUUCUGAGACAAAACCUGAGGAUUUUGGUGCUGUUCCCUUAGUCGGGUGUUCUCCUAAAGCUCUCCGUCCCUAGGUUGCUCUUUCCCAAGGAAAAAAAAAAAAAAAAAAAAAGAAAAAAGUGCAGUUCCUGGCCCUUUCAGGUACUUUCUAAAUUCUUCUUUGCUGAGCCACUAUUUGAACAGACAGCUGAGCUGUGCAAUAUUUGUCAGUCAUGGAUGCCUAAAAGUGAGAGAGUCUUAGAACUACUUGAAGGUAACUGGCCAAAGUUAGAGACUGGCAUCUGGUUUCCACCUUCCCUGCUGACGGAGUUUUGUUGGGAGGGCUUGGCUUCUUUGGGGAGACUUUUUUUUGCCCCAGGAUUGAUGAGUUUUUAACUGUGGCAGCCUUUGGAAGGAUGAAACAAACUUGGACAAGUGUUCUCUGGCAAUACAAUAGAUUAAACUAGCCUGUGUUUUGCUCUCUUUGGACUAUGAUAGAAGAGUUACUUUAUUCAUUUCAGUUUAUUUCCUGUGGGUAGCAUUGCCCACCUCUACUGAAAGGGCAUGUGUGUGUUGUGCAUGUGUUUUUGUAAAAUUCAAGUUUUGAGUCUUUCAUCUUCUGUCAGGUUUACGUUAUGGGCCUAAACACAUAGUGGAUUACAUACAAUGUUUGUAAAAUCAGGGGAAGGGAAAA